AAUGAACGUUGGCGGCGUGGAUUAGGCAUGCAAGUCGAACGCGUGUAGCAAUACACGAGUGGCGAAAGGGACAGUAAUACGUAGAUACGUACCCUCCGGCCUGGGAUAGUCCGUCGAAAGACGGGGUAAUACCAGAUAACGUCUCCGGACCAAAGGUGUGAUUCCACCGGUGGAGCGGUCUGCGUCCUAUUAGCUUGUUGGUGGGGUAACGGCCUACCAAGGCAAUGAUGGGUAGCGGGUGUGAGAGCACGACCCGCGUCACUGGGACUGAGACACUGCCCAGACACCUACGGGAGGCAGCAGUGGGGAAUUUUGGACGAUGGGCGAAAGCCUGAUCCAGCAAUGCCGCGUGCAGGAUGAAGGCCUUCGGGUUGUGAACUGCUUUUGUACGGAACGAAAAGCCCCGGGUUAAUACCCUGGGGUCAUGACGGUACCGUAAGAAUAAGCACCGGCUAACUACGUGCCAGCAGCCGCCGUAA
Molecule: ribosomal RNA, 479 nt
Filed under: uncultured bacterium
Lineage: Bacteria
Description: partial 16S ribosomal RNA
Rfam family: Bacterial small subunit ribosomal RNA
Source: RNAcentral